Non-coding RNA from Aedes albopictus (Asian tiger mosquito), 67 nucleotides. NCBI's taxonomy places the organism in Eukaryota, Metazoa, Arthropoda, Insecta, Diptera, Culicidae. The record is from Rfam.
UGCUCUGUGGCUUAGUUGGUUAAAGCGCCGGAAUACGGAGUUGUGGGUUCGAAUCCCACCAGAACGC